UGGGGAAUAUUGGACAAUGGGCGCAAGCCUGAUCCAGCCAUGCCGCGUGUGUGAUGAAGGCCUUAGGGUUGUAAAGCACUUUCGCCGAUGAAGAUAAUGACUGUAGUCGGAGAAGAAGCCCCGGCUAACUUCGUGCCAGCAGCCGCGGUAAUACGAAGGGGGCAAGCGUUGUUCGGAUUUACUGGGCGUAAAGCGUACGUAGGCGGAUGAUUAAGUCAGGGGUGAAAUCCCGGGGCUCAACCUCGGAACUGCCUUUGAUACUGGUCGUCUUGAGUCCGGGAGAGGUGAGUGGAACUCCUAGUGUAGAGGUGAAAUUCGUAGAUAUUAGGAAGAACACCAGUGGCGAAGGCGGCUCACUGGCCCGGAACUGACGCUGAGGUACGAAAGCGUGGGGAGCAAACAGG
RNAcentral lists this ribosomal RNA (404 nucleotides) under uncultured bacterium. RNAcentral describes it as "bacterial SSU rRNA". It matches the Rfam family "Bacterial small subunit ribosomal RNA", at positions 355 to 776 of the family's 1533-position model. The record is from RNAcentral.